Molecule: unclassified non-coding RNA, 292 nt
Filed under: fungal sp.
Lineage: Eukaryota; Fungi
Description: partial internal transcribed spacer region
Rfam family: Eukaryotic small subunit ribosomal RNA (bases 1-46)
Source: RNAcentral
AAGUCGUAACAAGGUAACCGUAGGUGAACCUGCGGUUGGAUCAUCCGAGAGAGUGGCACACGCAGUGUUACACGCAGUGUGUCGCUCAUAAUAGUUAGUGACUUGUAUCUUUUCUCGUUCUUUUCAGUGAAUCACAGGAAAAAGAGAGAGAAGCACGUCACUUGCAAACACCAAUUCCAGCGAAACGCACAAUUCCUCUGAAAAGAGAGAGAGAAGCACCAAUCUCAAUAACACUAAAACAUGACAAAGAAAGAAACAGAAAUAACUUUUGACAAUGGAUCUCUUGGUUCUC